CGGCAUGUGGGAUCUUCCUGGACCAGGGCACGAACCGGCGUCCCUGCAUCGGCAGGCGGACUCCCAACCGCUGCGCCACCAGGGAAGCCCUCUUGUAAUGUUUUUACAUAGUUUUGAUAUCAGGAUAACACUAGCCUCAAAGACUCUGUAAAUUACAGCAAGAUCAGGGAAACCAGGAGGAAAAAAGAGAUCAGAAGACAGGUCAGGUCCUUCUAAGUGUGACCACGGCAAGUUCAAAUACAAAAUGCACGCGUGCAGUUCCGUCCUUACAGGUUGUCGGAGGUCAGCCCCGAUCACAUACCGAGGAUGAAACCCAGUCGCCCUGUGACCUGAGCCGCUCCUACUGCGUCGGGCGCGGUCUCUGCGCUCCUGCAAGGCAGCGGCUUGCGGAGAGUGGGGAGGGGCUCCCGUGAUCCGGAAGGGCUUCGUCUCCCUGCUCUGCUCUUCUUCUAGCUACACUAUGUGGACUGCUUUGCAAUCAACAUUAAAAGGAGUGGAGGAGAUCUUUCCUUUCCCGAAAGUGGACUCUAUUGUAAAAAGAGUGUAGAACACGACUCUGAGAAAGAGCUCUCGCGUGGCUUCGGCAUGCGUGAAGCCCCCAGACUUGCUUGUGAAAAUGUGGAGCUGGUGUAGAUUUUUCUGGAGAGAGCGUUCCCAGCCUGAGAUUCUCAGAGGGUUUCCGACCUUCAGAAGGUCACGCGUCGCCCAUUCAAGUUCCAGCGGAACCGUCUAGCAGGGAUCCGGCUCCGCAGCUGCUGUGUGGACAUGUCUGAGCCGCCAGCUGCUCCCUUGCCCUGGGUGAGAACCGUGCGGAAAAGGAGCCCGAGUCGUCACAGCCUCUUUUAUCAAGUGUGAUGGGCCUGUGACCUCCAGACGUCCCUUCUGCUUGCGGGAAGCCCCUCUCCACACACUGCCCCGUCCUGGGGCUGCCCUGGCUUCUCCUCCCUCCUUCUGUUGCUACAGACGCCGCACAGAAGCCUGGCCCCCGGACCGGCAUCCUGAGGGGUCCCCGAGAGGGAUCUAGGCGGGAGCGGAUCUCCCGGGCUUCUGAGCCAUCGCGGGGACCCCGAGGCCCCCCUCCCACCCAGGCAGAGCUGCCUCUACACAGAGGGACUCCUUUCUCACGGGUUUGAACCACAAUGACCCCAAAACAUUAUGUUUGGACUUGAAAGACAAGCUUAUUUUUAAAGUUGAACUUCCUACA
Molecule: long non-coding RNA, 1204 nt
Organism: Aethalodelphis obliquidens (Pacific white-sided dolphin)
Lineage: Eukaryota; Metazoa; Chordata; Mammalia; Artiodactyla; Delphinidae
Exons: 2
Source: RefSeq, a predicted model, not a curated record